GACGAACGCUGGCGGCGUGCUUAACACAUGCAAGUCGAACGGAAAGGCCCUGCUUUUGUGGGGUGCUCGAGUGGCGAACGGGUGAGUAACACGUGAGUAACCUGCCCUUGACUUUGGGAUAACUUCAGGAAACUGGGGCUAAUACCGGAUAGGAGCUCCUGCUGCAUGGUGGGGGUUGGAAAGUUUCGGCGGUUGGGGAUGGACUCGCGGCUUAUCAGCUUGUUGGUGGGGUAGUGGCUUACCAAGGCUUUGACGGGUAGCCGGCCUGGGAGGGUGACCGGCCACAUUAGGACUGAGAUACGGCCCAGACUCCUACGGGAGGCAGCAGUGGGGAAUAUUGCACAAGGGGCGGAAGCCUGAUGCAGCAACGCCGCGUGCGGGAUGACGGCCUUCGGUUUGUAAACCGCUUUCGCCUGUGACGAAGCGUGAGUGACGGUAAUGGGUAAAGAAGCACCGGCUAACUACGUG
RNAcentral lists this ribosomal RNA (468 nucleotides) under uncultured bacterium. RNAcentral's name for it is "partial 16S ribosomal RNA". It matches the Rfam family "Bacterial small subunit ribosomal RNA", at positions 28 to 507 of the family's 1533-position model. The record is from RNAcentral.